Molecule: long non-coding RNA, 574 nt
Organism: Suricata suricatta (meerkat)
Lineage: Eukaryota; Metazoa; Chordata; Mammalia; Carnivora; Herpestidae
Exons: 2
Source: RefSeq, a predicted model, not a curated record
GGAACCUGCUUAAAAGGGAAAAUUACAGGUUAGAAAACAAGGUUCAUGGUUUUCACAGAAAGACCCCAAAAUGAAUGACGUAUAUUUUCUUUCAUGUAACAAGCAGAAUGUGAGCGGUCCGAGUCCGGCAGGCAGUCAUGCCCGAACGUCUGGCUUCUGCCCCUGGGUCCCAGGGAACUGCUCCAGUGGUCGCAAUGUCCAGCCAGUGAGAAGGAAAAAGACAAAGUGGAGGGCAAGCAAUUUCCUUUUCAAAGGACAGGACCCGGAAGUUGUGACCUUGGGGACCUACCACACCCAAGGACAGAAGAGGGUCUGAAAACAAGUCCUGAGGGGCUCUCCCAGCUAAAGAUCAGGAGAGGAGAAGAAGUUAAGGGGAAAGGAUGAGAGCCUAAAGAAGAGCAAGGAGCGGAGAAAGCCAGAAGUUGCAGACAUGUACAGGGCACCUCUAUGGAGAACCAUGAGGACAAGACAUGUUACCCUGAAAUCUGACGCCAGUUUUGGAUUCUCAUGGAAGUCGUUCAGAGGAAUCAGCAAAAAGAUGUAGGUCAUGAAAAUGAAUACUGACUUAGUAUCA